GACGAACGCUGGCGGCGUGCUUAACACAUGCAAGUCGAGCGGUAAGGUCCUUUCGGGGGUACACGAGCGGCGAACGGGUGAGUAACACGUGGGUGACCUGCCCUCAGCUCUGGGAUAAGCCGUGGGAAACCGGGGUCUAAUACCGGAUAUGACUCCAUGACGCAUGUUGUGGGGUGGAAAGCCUUGUGCGGCUGAGGAUGGGCCCGCGGCCUAUCAGCUUGUUGGUGGGGUGA
Molecule: ribosomal RNA, 233 nt
Filed under: uncultured bacterium
Lineage: Bacteria
Description: partial 16S ribosomal RNA
Rfam family: Bacterial small subunit ribosomal RNA
Source: RNAcentral